GUCCCUUCGUGGACAUCCGAUAAAAUUGGAACGAUACAGAGAAGAUUAGCAUGUGCCCUGCGCAAGGAUGACACGCUUAAAUCGAGAUAUGAUCCAAAUUUAU
Arabidopsis thaliana (thale cress) is the source of this 103-nucleotide small nuclear RNA. The record is from Rfam. Lineage: Eukaryota; Viridiplantae; Streptophyta; Magnoliopsida; Brassicales; Brassicaceae.